This 253-nucleotide ribosomal RNA is filed under the name uncultured bacterium. Its description in RNAcentral is "partial 16S ribosomal RNA". It matches the Rfam family "Bacterial small subunit ribosomal RNA", at positions 524 to 776 of the family's 1533-position model. The record is from RNAcentral.
UACGUAGGGUGCAAGCGUUAAUCGGAAUUACUGGGCGUAAAGCGUGCGCAGGCGGUUUUGUAAGUUUGUCGUGAAAGCCCCGGGCUCAACCUGGGAAUUGCGAUGAAGACUUCAAGGCUUGAAUCUGGCAGAGGGGGGUAGAAUUCCACGUGUAGCAGUGAAAUGCGUAGAGAUGUGGAGGAACACCGAUGGCGAAGGCAGCCCCCUGGGUCAAGAUUGACGCUCAUGCACGAAAGCGUGGGGAGCAAACAGG